AAAUCCCAACAUCUUCCAC
RNAcentral lists this small nuclear RNA (19 nucleotides) under Arabidopsis thaliana (thale cress). RNAcentral describes it as "snRNA_02755". The record is from RNAcentral. Lineage: Eukaryota; Viridiplantae; Streptophyta; Magnoliopsida; Brassicales; Brassicaceae.